Vicia villosa (hairy vetch) is the source of this 1844-nucleotide long non-coding RNA. RefSeq lists it as uncharacterized. NCBI's taxonomy places the organism in Eukaryota, Viridiplantae, Streptophyta, Magnoliopsida, Fabales, Fabaceae. The record is from RefSeq and is a predicted model, not a curated record. The transcript is spliced from 5 exons.
CGAUUCCACAAAGCUUCACUUUUUGAUGUCCUUUUGUUUUCUCUUUCUCUUUCUUCCAUAUACAUCUACCUCCUCUUUGUUUUCUGUACAACAACCACCGUUUCAAACCCUACAUGCCAUCACCGUUUCAAAACUCAUUCGGCCAUCACCGUUUCAAAACUCAUUCGACCAUCACCGUUUCAACCGCAUAAACUAGAUCUGUUGAUUAAACUGCAGCAAGAGAAACACUGAGCAACCCAAGUAUUUGCUUUUGGAUUGUCAAUUCGAUUUCAAGCAAAGAAGAUAGAGAUCUGUUUGUGGGUUGUGGUUUUGUUUCAAGCGAAUAGUUGAUGGCGGCAUAUUUGAAGUUUUCGGUGAUUUCACUUAUGUGUGCGAUUUCGCGAUGGUAGAUCUGUUGUAAAGCUCUAAACUUUCUGCAUAUAUUUGUGUAUAUAUUUUUGGUAUUUUAUAUGUUCAUAUUUUAGGGUUUCUUCUCGAUACAUAUAUUCAGAUUUUAGGAUUUCAAUGUGAGAAAAUGAAGCAUCGACAUGGGAAGUAGCUCCAAAGUGAGUGUUGGCCAGCCACGGUUGCCGGGGAAAACCACUGUUGUUAGAAUAUAGUCAAGAUAGCAGCUUCUUAAGGUGGUGAGAAAGGUCUCUUUUAUGGGUGGGUGCUACUUCAAAUAAAGCACAACUGAAGCCUCGCACAAAUCGAUGAUGCUUAAUGAAACGUAUUUUAGAAAAACCUAAAUGGUGAGGAAACGUAGGUUUGCUUGAGGAAAAGCUUCAUGCACUUCGUCACAAGAUUCACCAGGUACAAUGCAAAGACAUGCUCAAGAAAAAGAUGAAGAAAAAGUAUUCCGAGCUUCGAGAGUCGGAGAAUGAUUUAUGAUAUGCUAUAAAGGUGCUUCAACAUACCGCAUCAUUGCCAUCAAAACCUUACAAUUAGAUCCAUUACGAUACUGUCACUUCUGCUUGAUAUCUUCAAAACCUUACUAUUAGAUCCAUUAUUUUGCAAGUGACACUGAAGCCAUCAUUGCCAAGGAAAGAGCAACAACUGAAGACUUUCUGUUGUGUCACAUACCCUAAAAGAAAAUAGAAGACCAGAGGUGAGGUUAUGCAGUUCUUUCUAUUACAAUUAGGUGUUAAAUUUUUUUAGUAUUUUUUUAUCUUUUCAUCUAAGAAUAACAGCACAUUGGCCGAAAAUCAUGUUUAGAUUGCAAACUCCUUAUACUUAUAGUUCCAUUGUUUCAUCUUACUGGUUUUGUGAAGGGGUUCUUAGAGUUUGUCGUAACGUUACUAAAAUCUUCUAAACACUGAAUUUCAUUUUUGAUUUUGUUAAUUUGUUCGGUUUUAAAAAUUAUUAUAGAGUUUCGCUAAGUCUUCGAUUACGGGUGAAAAUGAUUAAUUUUAGCAUGUUGGGUGAAACAUGAUGAUUUCAUGGUAAAUGCCAUUGGCUGCAAACAAGACUUCUCUGUUGUAAUUUCAUCGUAACUGCUACGGUGGUUAUGAAACUGCGUAUAAUUGAGUUAAAUUGAUGAAAUAGAAUGCUUAGAAUGACGAGAUGAUAAUGGCUUUAUGGUUGACAGUUUCAUAAUACAUUAAAAUAUCUAUGCGGGUUGAAGUAUUAAGGCUGCAACUUCUCAAAUAUAUUAAUGCUGCAACUUCUCAAAUAUAUUAAUGCUGCAACUUCUCAUUAUGUAAGAUUGGGAUUGUUUUUGAAGGCAUGAAGGUGGCUAGCAGUUGACUGAUUUUGUAUUUAUGCUGAUUAGCAUUUUUGGCAGAGGUUGGUCAUUGCUUUUGAUGCAGGACUUAAUGUUGAUGAAAAAUGGUUUGAUAAAAUUCUGCAAUGUUUAAUUGAUGAAU